Molecule: ribosomal RNA, 430 nt
Filed under: uncultured bacterium
Lineage: Bacteria
Description: bacterial SSU rRNA
Rfam family: Bacterial small subunit ribosomal RNA
Source: RNAcentral
GUGGGGAAUAUUGCGCAAUGGGCGAAAGCCUGACGCAGCGACGCCGCGUGAGGGACGAAGGCCUUCGGGUUGUAAACCUCUUUCAGCAGGGACGAAGCGAAAGUGACUGUACCUGCAAAAGAAGCACCGGCUAACUACGUGCCAGCAGCCGCGGUAAUACGUAGGGUGCAAGCGUUGUCCGGAAUUAUUGGGCGUAAAGAGCUCGUAGGCGGCUUGUCACGUCGGGUGUGAAACCUCGGGGCUCAACCCCGAGCCUGCAUCCGAUACGGGCUAGCUAGAGUUCGGCAGGGGAGACUGGAAUUCCUGGUGUAGCGGUGAAAUGCGCAGAUAUCAGGAGGAACACCGGUGGCGAAGGCGGGUCUCUGGGCCGAUACUGACGCUGAGGAGCGAAAGCGUGGGGAGCAAACAGGAUUAGAAACCCCAGUAGUCC